Molecule: long non-coding RNA, 1100 nt
Filed under: Homo sapiens (human)
Lineage: Eukaryota; Metazoa; Chordata; Mammalia; Primates; Hominidae
Description: HSALNT0336559
Source: RNAcentral
GUAAGAGCUGGGGAUGAAAGGAGGGCUAAGCAGGAGGCAUGCAAGUUGCAAAGUGGAGCAAUGGGAGAUGUUCUCAGGAAACAGCACUGUGUGUCACGGAAUAUUUUACUUUCAGUUUUUCUGGGUUUUCAGAAAAUGUGGUAACUUUAAAGUUUUCACAGUUGAAUUAAUUCCACAGAACAACUGGUUGUAGAAUCAUAGCAACAUAAUUAUGAGUUGUGCUUCUGGCUCCAAAUCUUUCAUCUAAAAAUAAUCGCAGUGACCACAUCUUGGGAAAACAAAGCCAUUACCUAUUCUUGUGCUCCAGCUAUCUCGGUAGUCACUUACUGGAAAAUGGAUUACAGGCAUUCUCUAAGGCAUGAACAUGAUUUUGAAGAAAUCCUUUACCAUCACACAUCACACAAGCCUGCCUGUGCUCCUCCAGAAACGUAGCCCUAGUACUCCUGGAAGCCCAUUUUGUUCCUUCAGGGAGUAUGCUUUCUUUGUGCAGAGAGGAGAAAAAUGCUGGAGACAGAGAUGUGGGGAGUAAGAGGAGGGACGGUAGUUAUGUUUUGGUACUUUAUUUAAGUACCCGAGUGGAUUAUACUAGAUGCUGCGAUUCAGAAACACAGGCUGUCUACAGGUGAGACACAAGUUUCACCUCCAGGGGUACACAGUUUAAUUGCAGCAAAAUGUUUUAAAGAAGGAAUGCUUCACUGUGGAAAAAGGAAACAAGUGGCUUGUUACCCAAAGAGCACAAGGAACCCCUCCACUGUUGAGUUGUUCACAUUUUCUUGGUUUAUGCUUCAGGUAGAGAGUUCACAGCCCCAAUAUGGAAAUGUGUCUAGAGCUUGGAUCUAGAAGUUUAUGUCUUUCUUGAAGUUCCUGGGUCGUAAUAACCACAGUGAGGACAAAGGCACCAGAACAAUGCCAAACCAGGAGAUAUGGCCUGAAUUAGAAGGAAGACAAGUUUUUAUCAGGCAUAACAAUGAAAGAAGUUGAAACCAUGGAGUUAUUAUUAAGAGAAGUUGUGGAGUAGUUAUUCCUGGUAGCCUCUAAGUAGCAGUUGGUCCUAAAUCACAAAGCUCGAGCUGAGCUUUUGCUCGCCGUCCACCACUGCU